This is a long non-coding RNA of Piliocolobus tephrosceles (Ugandan red Colobus), 2635 nucleotides long. Lineage: Eukaryota; Metazoa; Chordata; Mammalia; Primates; Cercopithecidae. The record is from Ensembl.
CAACUCGUCCAUAAAUAGCAUGAACAAAUGGUAUAAUCACCUUAGUAACAAUAGCAAUGCUCAGUACAAUCAAGAUAAUUGCCUAAACACACAUAAUAAUAAUAAUAAUACUAACAAUAAUAAUAAUACUAAUAAUAAUAAUAAUAAUAAGAAUAUGAAUCGAUACUAUGAUAUAAAUGACAAUAACUCUUGUAUGAACAUAUCAGGUGCAAAAAAAAUAAACUAUUCAAAUAACAACAAUAGUACUAAAAGUAACAGUAAUAACGCCGCGAAUAAUACUAAUACUACUACGGCAACAACUGGUAGUAAUAACAAUAAUUAUCUUCAUAAUAGAAACCAUAUUAACAUAGAUAGAGCAGAUAGUUACAACUCAUUUAAUUAUAAUAAUAAAAUGCAAAACACAAAUAAUAUGGUAGGAUCUUCAUCCUCAUCAUCAUAUGAUAAACAAUUUAUGAAUAAUGAAAAUAAAAAUGAGCUGUUAAAUAUAAUUAAAGAAAAUGUAGGUAAUAAAAAUAGUAGAGACUACGGACGUGAACGUGGACAUGAGUAUGAGCAUAGGCAGCCUUCUAUCAACAAAUAUGAAAAAAAAAAUGAACAUAAUAAAGUUUUGAAUAAUAACAAUAGUGUUAAUAAUAGACCUGUUGGGUAUAGAGGUAACAUGCGUAAUAGUAUAAGUACAAACAGUAGUGUAUGUAGUAAUAGUAUUGAUAGUAAUAGAAGACGAAAGGGUAACCGUAGAGUCAGUUACAGUGAUGAGGAGGAGGAAGAGGAAGAGGAUCAUGAGAAUGAACUGGAUGUUAAUAAAAAUUAUAAUUAUGACAAUCUAAAUGCUGUGUGUUACAAUAAUAACAACGACUAUAAUAUUAUGAAAUAUAACAACGGAAAUUAUAACAACAAUAGUAACUAUAACAACAAUAGUAACUAUAACAACAAUAGUAACUAUAACAACAAUAGUAAUUAUAACAACAAUAGUAACUAUAACAACAAUAGUAACUAUAAUAACAAUAGUAACUAUAACAACAACAGCUACAAUAACAACAACAACUACAAUAACAACAACAACUACAAUAACAACAACAACUACAAUAACAACAACAGCUACAAUAACAGUCGUAACAAAACGUAUAAAGAAGAUACCAAAAUAUUAAAUAACAAUGAACUUUGCAACAUAAAUAAUAUUGUUGAUAUAAAUAAUAAAAAUUUAAAUACUUCACCAAAUAAUGCAUAUAAUAUAGCUUAUAUGUUUAUUUAUCAAUNNNNNNNNNNNNNNNNNNNNNNNNNNNNNNNNNNNNNNNNNNNNNNNNNNNNNNNNNNNNNNNNNNNNNNNNNNNNNNNNNNNNNNNNNNNNNNNNNNNNAAAAAAAGAAAUUAUGCAUAAUUUUUAUGCAGAAGAUGCAAUUUUACUUAUAAGUUGCAAUGACCAAAAUAUGAAAGACUUAGUAAACUCAAUGAUUUAUCAACAACAACAAUGUAUGGAAGAAGAAAAUGAAAAUAACGAUAUUAAUAGCAUGAACUGUAAUCGAAAUAAUCAAAGGGUUGAUAUUAGAAGUAGUAAUAAUAGUAAUAAGAAUAGUUCUGAUAAUGUAAUUACGAAUACAUACAAUGUUAAUUCGAAAUUGUUUAAUCAAAAAAAUAAUUUAAAUAAUCGUAAUAAUACUGUUGAUAUUAAUAAUAGAAAUUGUGAAAAUAAUAGUAAUAAUACUGAAUGUAGCGAUCGAAUGAUAAAAUUAAAAAAUAGAAACGUUAUACAUGAAUAUUAUAGUAAUUUGGAUAUUAAUGAAUGUAUUGUUCAUAUUAUAUGUAUUGAAGUUAUUAACGUACAUAAAGAAAUAUAUAUAUAUAUUUAUGGGAAAAUAAAAAGAUGUAAAGAUUCGAAUGUUUUUUAUUUUUUUAUUCAAAAUAUACAUUUACAUGAAUAUAAUUCUCUUCAAUAUUAUGUGGAUUUGGAUUUUGUUCAUUAUUAUAAUGUACAAGGAACUAGUUACCACAAUUCGGAUAUCCAAACGAUGGAUUCUGUAUCAUGUAUUAAUAAAAAUUUAAGUACAAAUCCUAACAAUAUAUGUAGUAGAGGUCAUAAUAAUGAGUAUAAUAAUAAAAUUGGAAAUAAUAAUUAUUCUAAUCUAAAUACAGAACUAAAUUUAAAAAAAAAAAAAAUUAAUGAUUUAUAUUUGGAUAAUUCUUUAUCUAUUACUACUGCUGCUGCAACUGCUGCUGCUAUUGCUAUUGCAAAUACUAGUACAUACACGAUGAAUAAUCAAAGUGGUACUAAUAAACAUAUAAGAACAAACCAUAAUAUAAUACCAAACGAUUUAUUGAAAAAUAAAAAUAUAAAUAAACAUUUUGCUUUAAAUAAAUAUAACAAUAAUCAAAGAAAAAAUAAAAACGAAUACAUAGACAGUUACAACAAUAAUAAUAAUAAUAAUAACAACAACAAUAACAGAAAUAACAAUAACUAUGAAUUGUUAGAUGCUGAUAAUUAUAGAAUACGAUAUGAUGAUAAACAACAGUAUGUUGAUAGAAAUGAUCAUGAGCAUAUGGCUGUUAACAACACAAGUGGUGGAGGAUAUUAUCAGCAGCCAUAACAACAUUGUUAAAAAAAUGGAAAAAAAUAAUAAAAAUAUAAAACAUAAAAAACA